UUUUCGUUUUUUCAUGUUCAAUGUUUGACCAUUUGUCAUAUUUGAAAUUUUUUUACGAUUAAUAUAUAUUUUUAUUAUUACUAGAUGAUAAAAUAUAAAUAAUACUUUAUACGUGACUAAUUUUUUAAGUUUUUUUAAUAAAUUUUUCAAAUAAAACGAAUGGUCAAACGUUAGACCCGAAAAAACAAAAAUAAGAUUAUU
RNAcentral lists this microRNA precursor (201 nucleotides) under Oryza brachyantha (malo sina). Its description in RNAcentral is "MIR812 microRNA precursor family". It matches the Rfam family "MIR812 microRNA precursor family". The record is from Rfam by way of RNAcentral. Lineage: Eukaryota; Viridiplantae; Streptophyta; Magnoliopsida; Poales; Poaceae.